RNAcentral lists this ribosomal RNA (253 nucleotides) under uncultured bacterium. RNAcentral's name for it is "partial 16S ribosomal RNA". It matches the Rfam family "Bacterial small subunit ribosomal RNA", at positions 524 to 776 of the family's 1533-position model. The record is from RNAcentral.
AACGUAGGGGGCGAGCGUUAUCCGGAAUUACUGGGCGUAAAGCGCGUGCAGGCGGCUUGGUAGUUUGGACGUGAAAGCUCCUGGCUUAACUGGGAGAGGCCGUUCAAAACCACCAGGCUUGAGGGCGGAAGAGGGGAGUGGAAUUCCCGGUGUAGUGGUGGAAUGCGUAGAUAUCGGGAGGAACACCUGUGGCGAAGGCGGCUCCCUGGUUCGCACCUGACGCUCAGACGCGAAAGCGUGGGGAGCGAACGGG